AUGGCGAAGGAAGGCCUGGAGGAAGCCCUCCUGGUCGCGAGCCGCGCGACGGAUGGAGGCGGCGACGAGGGCCUGGGGCUGGGGGUGCGCGACGAGGUGAAGAAGCAGCUGUGGCUGGCCGGGCCGCUCAUCGCCGGCGCGCUGCUGCAGAACCUGAUCCAGAUGAUCUCGGUCAUGUACGUCGGCCACCUCGGCGAGCUCGCCCUCGCCGGCGCCUCCAUGGCCAGCUCCUUCGCCACCGUCACCGGCUUCAGCCUCCUGCUUGGAAUGGCGAGUGCACUGGACACCCUCUGCGGCCAAGCAUACGGAGCCAGGCAAUACCACCUCCUCGGCGUCUACAAGCAGCGGGCGAUGGUGAUCCUCACCCUGGUCAGCAUCCCCCUGGCCGUGGUGUGGUUCUACACUGGCGAGAUCCUGCUCCUGUUCGGGCAGGACCCCGACAUCGCCGCGGAGGCCGGCACCUACGCGCGCUGGAUGAUCCCGGCGAUCUUCGCGUACGGGCUGCUGCAAUGCCAUGUCCGGUUCCUGCAGACGCAGAACAUCGUGCUCCCGGUGAUGGCGAGCGCCGGCGCGGCCGCGGCGUUCCACCUCCUCGUCUGCUGGCUGCUCGUGUACGUCGCCGGGAUGGGCAGCAAGGGCGCCGCGCUCAGCAACGCCGUCUCCUACUGGGUCUACGUGAUCGUGCUGGCUGUGUACGUCAGGGUGUCGGGCUCCUGCAAGGAGACGUGGACGGGGUUCUCCACGGAGGCGUUCCGCGACGUGCUCAGCUUCUUCCGGCUCGCCGUCCCGUCGGCCCUCAUGGUCUGCCUGGAGAUGUGGUCGUUCGAGCUCAUAGUGCUCCUGUCAGGCCUUCUUCCCAAUCCAAAGCUGGAGACUUCGGUGCUGUCCAUCAGCCUCAACACCGCUGCCUUCGUAUGGAUGAUCCCCUUUGGCCUCGGCUCUGCCAUAAGCACCCGUGUCUCAAACGAGCUCGGAGCGGGGCGCCCCGACGCUGCCCGGCUUGCGGUGCGUGUCGUCGUCUUGUUGGCCAUGGCGGAAGGACUGAUCAUGGGGUUGGUGCUGAUCUGCAUCAGAUACGUCUGGGGGCAUGCCUACAGCGACGUGGAGGAGGUUGUGACUUACGUUGCCUGGAUGAUGCUCAUCAUCUCGGUGUCCAACUUCUUCGACGGAAUCCAGUGCGUGCUUUCAGGGGUGGCUAGAGGCUGUGGAUGGCAGAAGAUUGGUGCUUGGAUCAAUCUUGGUGCCUACUAUAUCGUCGGCAUCCCCUCGGCCUACCUCAUAGCCUUUGUCUUGCAAGUCGGCGGGACGGGGCUCUGGUUGGGCAUCAUCUGUGGCCUGAUGGUGCAAGUCCUGUUGCUCAUGACCAUCACGAUAUGCACAGACUGGGAUAGAGAGGCGGAUAAGGCAAAGGACAGGGUAUUCAGUUCUUCUCUCCCAACAGAUUUCGCAACUGAAGACCAUACCUAG
RNAcentral lists this ribosomal RNA (1467 nucleotides) under Triticum aestivum (bread wheat). RNAcentral's name for it is "partial small subunit ribosomal RNA". Lineage: Eukaryota; Viridiplantae; Streptophyta; Magnoliopsida; Poales; Poaceae. The record is from RNAcentral.